GAUGAACGCUGGCGGCGUGCCUAACACAUGCAAGUCGAACGGAGUCCAGCCUUUAAGACCUUCGGGUCAAAGAGGGGAAGACUGAGUGGCGGACGGGUGAGUAACACGUGGGCAACCUGGCUCAUAGAGGGGGAUAACAGAGAGAAAUUUCUGCUAAUACCGCAUAAGCACACACUGCCGCAUGGCAGAGGGUGAAAAGAGAAUCGCUAUGAGAUGGACCCGCGUCUGAUUAGCCAGUUGGCAGGGUAAGAGCCUACCAAAGCGACGAUCAGUAGCCGAUCUGAGAGGAUGAACGGCCACAUUGGGACUGAGACACGGCCCAAACUCCUACGGGAGGCAGCAGUGGGGGAUAUUGCACAAUGGGGGGAACCCUGAUGCAGCGACGCCGCGUGAGUGAUGAAGUAUUUCGGUAUGUAAAGCUCUAUCAGCAGGGAAGAUAAUGACAGUACCUGAAUAAGAAGCCCCGGCUAACUACGUG
Molecule: ribosomal RNA, 478 nt
Filed under: uncultured bacterium
Lineage: Bacteria
Description: partial 16S ribosomal RNA
Rfam family: Bacterial small subunit ribosomal RNA
Source: RNAcentral